RNAcentral lists this long non-coding RNA (298 nucleotides) under Cyanistes caeruleus (blue tit). RNAcentral describes it as "lncRNA (ENSCCEG00000007273.1)". The record is from RNAcentral. Lineage: Eukaryota; Metazoa; Chordata; Aves; Passeriformes; Paridae.
UGCUGUGUACUUCGCCUUAAAGAAAAUUGCGUGUGAAAUAUUUGUCUUCUGUGAGGACUGAAGACUAUUAGAAGGUGCACUGCUGGAAGUGGCCCUUGCUGCCAUAUCCAAAAAUAAAGCCCUUUUCUUGAAGGAACGAGACAUUGAGGUUUAGUUUGCUAUGGCAGAGGCUUUGGGAAUGUGCAACAAAAAUUCAGAAGUCUAAUUAAGGAAGCAUUGAAUUUAAGGCCUGCCUUGACUUUUUCACUCAGAAAGAAUAUGGCUCUUCCUCUAUGAAUAAACCAUCCCUAUCCUGGUG